Molecule: ribosomal RNA, 586 nt
Filed under: uncultured bacterium
Lineage: Bacteria
Description: bacterial SSU rRNA
Rfam family: Bacterial small subunit ribosomal RNA
Source: RNAcentral
GGUGCUACACAUUGCAAGUCGAACGCGAAAAUCCCGCAAGGGAUCUGUAGCGUGGCAAACGGGUGAGUAACGCGUGGGCGACCUACCUCAGAGUGGGGGAUAACCUUCCGAAAGGGAGGCUAAUACCGCAUGACAUCCCGUGUUUGGAUACACGGACAUCAAAGCCGGGGAUCGGCAAGACCUGGCGCUUGGAGAGGGGCCCGCGUCCGAUUAGCUAGUUGGUGAGGUAACGGCUCACCAAGGCUCCGAUCGGUAUCCGGCCUGAGAGGGCGGACGGACACACUGGGACUGAGACACGGCCCAGACUCCUACGGGAGGCAGCAGUGGGGAAUUGUUCGCAAUGGGCGCAAGCCUGACGACGCAACGCCGCGUGGAGGAUGAAGAUCUUCGGGGUCGUAAACUCCUUUCGAUCGAGACGAAUGGCCCCCGGGUGAACAAUCCGGGGGAGUGACGGUACCGAGCAGAAGAAGCCCCGGCUAACUCCGUGCCAGCAGCCGGGGGUAAUACGGGGGGGGGCAAGGCGUUGUUCGGAAUUACUGGGGCGUAAAAGGGCUCGUAAGGCGGCCAACUAAGUCAAGACGUGGAA